RNAcentral lists this ribosomal RNA (488 nucleotides) under uncultured bacterium. RNAcentral describes it as "bacterial SSU rRNA". It matches the Rfam family "Bacterial small subunit ribosomal RNA", at positions 28 to 507 of the family's 1533-position model. The record is from RNAcentral.
GACGAACGCUGGCGGCGUGGAUUAGGCAUGCAAGUCGGACGGUAGAGCUUUAUCGUAAGAUAGAGUUUGAGAGUGGCGAACGGGUGAGUAACACGUAGGAAUCUACCCUUAAGACGGGGACAACCCAGGGAAACUUGGGCUAAUACCGGAUGAGAGUGCGAGAGAUUGCAUUUAAAAAGGAUGGCGAAAGUUGUCGCUUAGGGAUGAGCCUGCGGUCUAUUAGUUAGUUGGUGAGGUAAGAGCUCACCAAGGCGAUGAUAGAUAGGCGGCCUUAACGGGUGGUCGCCCACACUGGGAUUGAGAUACGGCCCAGACUCCUACGGGAGGCAGCAGUCGAGAAUAGUCUACAAUGGCCGGAAGGCUGAUAGUGCGACGCCGCGUGAACGAGGGAGCCCUUCGGGGUGUAAAGUUCUUUUCUACGCGAAUAGAGGUUAGUACGAGAUACUAAUAGGAAGGUAGUGUAGUAAAAAGCACCGGCUAACUCCGUG